GAACCUGCGUUAGCAAACCAGUGGCAUGUCUGCUGUUGUAAUGGUAUCUGAGAUGCUUUGCAGUGGUGUCAUGCAGCUUCACAGAACUGGAGUUUCUUGCAAAACUAAACCAGGAUCACCUAUAUUGAAUUCAAGAGUGAGGUCCAGUGAUCAUAGCUGACUCAUCAGGAAACUUUCACAUCUAUUGGAGAAAGCUCUGCUCUUCAGUUACGGACGAUUGAAAUGUUCUGGUUUGGUUGGAAGACUGAACUAGCUUGCCAGAGGGAAUUCAUAGGAAACCAGAACAUUUUCCCAAAGAGAAGAAUCCCGUAUGAUAAAGGAUUCAAAAAACAUAAUCCAUUUGACCGGCAGUAUUUUAAAUGAGGAGGAAAGGAGCUGCUUUCUGAGCCUUCUCUACAUCACUGUAAAU
Strigops habroptila (Kakapo) is the source of this 409-nucleotide long non-coding RNA. RefSeq lists it as uncharacterized. The transcript is spliced from 3 exons. Lineage: Eukaryota; Metazoa; Chordata; Aves; Psittaciformes; Psittacidae. The record is from RefSeq and is a predicted model, not a curated record.